GUGGCUCAGCGGUAGAGCGCUCACCUAGCACGUGUGAGGCCCUGGGUUCGAUCCUCAGC
Molecule: transfer RNA, 59 nt
Filed under: Ictidomys tridecemlineatus (thirteen-lined ground squirrel)
Lineage: Eukaryota; Metazoa; Chordata; Mammalia; Rodentia; Sciuridae
Description: Spermophilus tridecemlineatus (thirteen-lined ground squirrel) tRNA
Rfam family: tRNA
About the family: Transfer RNA (tRNA) molecules are approximately 80 nucleotides in length.
Source: Rfam by way of RNAcentral